GAAUUGCCCUGUCCUCCCUGCAGGCCCCUCGGCCUCUGCCCAGCCCUUUGAUGUCAGGUGUCUAGGGCUCUCUCUGCCCAACACUCCACACUUUCUCCUGGAUAACCUCGGCUGCCUGAGACUCCAGCUGCAGGACCCCCAGUCUCAGGCCCCUCUCCUGGGCCACAGACCCCAGAUCACCAGUCCCUACCCAGGCUCCUCCCUGUAGGUGCUCCACAGGCACUCAGACUCAGUAUGGACAAGGCUGAGCUCACCAUCCUCUACCCAAUGUCACCCAGGGCAGAAACUCGGCCAGCAUCCCUGACACCUCCCACUCACACCUGGAAAAACCCUCAGGGCCUGUAGCGUGCCCCUCAUAAAUAUUUCUCAACCUCCACUCCAGAAGGUUUUCCCCCCACUCCCACCUCCAAAGCCCAGGUCCCAGCUCAGUCCUCUUACCUGUCACCUGGCCACUACACCCACCUCCUCCCUAAUGUCCUUGACCCCAUCAAUCCAGCCUCCACACAUCAGCCAGAAGGAACCUUCUUGCCCCAGGUCCACCGCAUCUGACCUUGCCCUGCCCCAGUGCCCACCGCACCCCAGGCACCUGUGUAGCCAUCUGAACAGUGGCACUGGAAGCCAUUGGGCAGGUCCUGGCAGAGGCCUCCACUGAGGCAUGGCCGUGAGGCACACUCGUCCACGUCCACACUGCAGUCGUCCCCUGCAAGAAGCCCAGCUGUGGUUCCCACAGCUCCCUCAGAGCCAGACUGGAACUGGAAAGGGCCCAUCUUAUAGCUAGGGAGACUGAGGCCAGAGAGAGGUGCUUGAACCCAGCUUCGGCAUCCCUCCCGCGCAUCUGGACACUACAGACCUGCUUCCCUGGAAGGGGGCUCACCCUCAAAGCCCAGAGGGCAGCGGCACAGGAAGCCAGCAGCAUGGCGGAAGCUGAAGGCUCCUGGGAAGGCGGCCUGGAUGCCCCCGUAGAGGGUUGGGUCGGAGCGCUGCAGGCACUGGCCCCCGUGCUGACAGGGGCCCACCGCACAUUCAUCCUCAUCCACCUCGCACCGCUCGCCGCUGUAGCCUGGGGACACACACAGGUGGGCGCCAGGUCACAGGCGGUCACCAAGCUGCAGCCCUCCACUGCUGCCAGGCCAACCCAGCUCAGAUAUGGUCACGGAUAUUCCGAGGGAGGGACACACGGACGGGGUAGGAAUGACCAGUGCAGGCUUCACCAGCAUCAGCAUCGUGUUACUAUUAUUACUAGCAUUACUGAGCACUCUGCACGUGCGGGGCCCUGUACCAAGGCUUGAUGGGCGCUACACCUUUUUACUCUCCUCAGAACAGCCCAGGAGCAGGUGCUGUGAUUAGCCCUGUUUAGCAGAUCUGGAAACUGAGGCUCAGAGAAGUUGCAGUCACAGGCACACACUGGGCUUAGUCCACUCAGGGUGUGUGCGCACGGCCAGGUUGUCCUCCUCAGCCUGAGACCCCGCCCCUCUGGGCGUGCGGGCGCGCACGCGCACACGCUCUCGCGCACGCGCACACACACCUGGCCAGCAGAGGCAGCGGAAGCUCCCGAGGCCCUCGAGGCAGGACGCGUUGUUCGCGCAGGGCGCCGACGCGCACUCCAGCACCUCCUGCUCGCAGCGCGCGCCCUCGUAGCCCGUGUCCGCGCAGUCGCACCGGAACCUGCAGGGGGGCGCGCGACCGGAGCUGAGCACGCGCCCGAACCUCCAGCUCCCUCUAUCUCCAUCGCGCCCCCCACCCCGCCGCCCACCGCGCAGCCUCACCGCUUGAGAGCACCCGGCCGCCCGCUCACCCGUUGACCAGGUCGUGGCAUACGCCCCCGUGCACGCACGGCUGGCUCUGGCACUCGUCCAGGUCCAGCUGGCAGCUGGCGCCCCCGAAGCCCGGCGCGCACACGCAGCGGUAGGAGCCCAAGCCGUCCAAGCACGAGCCCCCGUGCAGGCAGGGUGCCGAGGCACACUCGUCCACCUCCGCCUCGCAGGUCACGCCUGGACAGGGACCGAGACAGACAGAGAGAUGGCCGCCCAGAGGGAGCGCGAAUGAGGCCGAGCCAGGCUGACCCGAAACCUACUCCAGACUGACCAGAAGCGGACCGUCAGGAUCCAAAGAGAGAAUCCGUUGUUCCAUUCAUCCAGAGCAGGCUGCCUGGGACGACCUGGCGGGGGAAGGAUUAACGGACACCCGCCCCUCCCCUUGGACCUGCUGCCCUGCCCUGGGAAGGCCCAGAACCCACCUCCGGGAAGAGAAUUUUCUUCAUGGAAAGGACAGGAUUAUAAUAACAGGAACCAUUUCAAAACGAUCCCAAUGCCCGGACUGAAAUAUCAGAGCGAGCCAUUGUAGGCUAGCGGUGAAGUGCACAGACACUGGUUCAAAUCCUGGCUUCUCCACUUCCCAGCU
Non-coding RNA from Delphinapterus leucas (beluga whale), 2400 nucleotides. The record is from RefSeq and is a predicted model, not a curated record. NCBI's taxonomy places the organism in Eukaryota, Metazoa, Chordata, Mammalia, Artiodactyla, Monodontidae.